GCUCCGUUAGCUCAAUGGUAGAGCGUGUCCAUAUCUUUGUCUCUCUCUCUCUUCCGUGUCCUUAAACCUGAAACCUUCUUUCCGCUCCAUUCCUAGAACUCUAUGGAAAGAUACUGGUUCGAAUCUAGUACGGAGCA
This 137-nucleotide transfer RNA is filed under the name Stachybotrys chartarum IBT 7711. RNAcentral's name for it is "tRNA-Und (NNN) (tRNA-Und-NNN-2-1)". It matches the Rfam family "tRNA". Rfam says of the family: Transfer RNA (tRNA) molecules are approximately 80 nucleotides in length. Their secondary structure includes four short double-helical elements and three loops (D, anti-codon, and T loops). Further hydrogen bonds mediate the characteristic L-shaped molecular structure. tRNAs have two regions of fundamental functional importance: the anti-codon, which is responsible for specific mRNA codon recognition, and the 3' end, to which the tRNAs corresponding amino acid is attached (by aminoacyl-tRNA synthetases). tRNAs cope with the degeneracy of the genetic code in two manners: having more than one tRNA (with a specific anti-codon) for a particular amino acid; and 'wobble' base-pairing, i.e. permitting non-standard base-pairing at the 3rd anti-codon position. Lineage: Eukaryota; Fungi; Ascomycota; Sordariomycetes; Hypocreales; Stachybotryaceae. The record is from RNAcentral.